UGUGGUCUCGCUUUGAAGAGACCAUACUUGAUACUUGUAACUCGUCAGUUAAGUGCGUUAAGUUAAGCGUAAUUAUUUAAUUAACGCCAAAUAAUUAACCAUUUUGAACUCUGUAAUCUGAAUUGUGCUGUUUCAACUUCGACGGUGCAGGACACACUAGUGUGAUUGGUUAUCAAAGAGAGGCAGAAAUGGCAGAAAGGUAACCUGAUGCAGUCCAUUCAUGUCAACACCACUGUCCAUCUCACUAUGUAGUAUGUGGACAAUAGGCAACCCAACCAUACUUUCCUCUACACUGAAGUCAAUUUAUCAUAAUUGAAAUUAAGUUGAUAUCUUCAUCACAACCCAUUUUGAUUUUGGUGUAGACCAAGGUCCUAAGAAGGUGGUAUCUAAGAAGUUUAACAAGAACAAGGCUUGUUGGUUUUUCUGUUACUUCGAAAAUUGAAU
Molecule: long non-coding RNA, 444 nt
Organism: Daphnia pulicaria
Lineage: Eukaryota; Metazoa; Arthropoda; Branchiopoda; Diplostraca; Daphniidae
Exons: 3
Source: RefSeq, a predicted model, not a curated record